This is a long non-coding RNA of Musa acuminata AAA Group (dessert banana), 994 nucleotides long. RefSeq lists it as uncharacterized. The record is from RefSeq and is a predicted model, not a curated record. Lineage: Eukaryota; Viridiplantae; Streptophyta; Magnoliopsida; Zingiberales; Musaceae. The transcript is spliced from 2 exons.
UCCACUUCUACCUCAUCCCCACUCUUGCAGCUUCCAUGGAGAACUCAGAACAGGUCUUGAGUGAGAGCUGCAACUCUUACAGGUGGUUGAUGUGCGUCAAAUCCUCACUUGACUCCCUUGGUGACAGCCACCGCUCCUUCGACACCCAAGACGGCAGCUCCUUCAUCGAAGUUGACCCUGAAUGCAUCUCCCUGCGUUGGGCAAUCGAUGCCAAUGGCUUCGGUUUUGAUCUGCCAAGAUCACAGUCUUCAGAUCACAUCCUCUUCUCCAGUGGUCUCCUUCAGUUGCCUGUUCUCGACAAAUCUGAGUCGCUGAGUUCAUCAAGGUCACUUCUUUCCCUGCCCAACCACUGCCGGAGUAUAUCCUCAUCCUUGAUCUCUUCGACUCUCUUCCAUUCAGCACACGACACACCCUCAUCCAGAAGUCUCGCUUCAAGGAAUGCAAAGUUGAGGCACUGUGCUGGAUGUCUGAAGAAGGUUAUAUGGAGAUACAUGUGCUUUCUGAUGCACUUAUGUGAGAAGGUAAAAACCUUGAGAUUGACUUCAUCAAGAUCAGAGAAGAGCUGCACGAACUUGGCUGGGAGUUCUCGGAGGACGAGUGAUUCCUGCUCGAGCAUAGAAUGUUGCAACAGCUAUGCUGAUAUAUCAAUCCAUGAUGCAAUUCUUCACUGCAAAAAAUCAAAUGAGCAGGAUAAGUGAUCAGGAUUGUAGAAGAGCAAGGAAGAAAGGAACCAGUUUCUCCAUUUUCAUCAGGGAUGAACUCUCCACAAAGAAUGAGAAAUCAAUUAUAUUUGAUCCAUGCAGUCAAAGAAAGAAAUGACAACCAUAAAAGAAAGAAAGAGAGUCAUCUUCCUACGGUUAACUUCCUCUGUCUCUUGGUUUCAAGAAAGUGUAAUUUCCACUGUUCAGAGAACAAAGAACAGCAAAUGUAUAUUUAUGGGUCUUGUGAAAUGCCACCAUGUAAUAGAUUGCAACCAGAUCAUGUUUUCUGUGCA